UUGACGGGGGCCCGCACAAGCGGUGGAGCAUGUGGUUUAAUUCGAUGAUACGCGAGGAACCUUACCUGGGCUCAAAUGUAUGUUGACGUAUUCUGAAAGGGAUACUUCUUCGGACAAUAUACAAGGUGCUGCAUGGUUGUCGUCAGCUCGUGCCGUGAGGUGUCGGGUUAAGUCCCAUAACGAGCGCAACCCCUAUCAUUAGUUGCCAUCAGGUCAAGCUGGGGACUCUAAUGAAACUGCCUACGCAAGUAGUGAGGAAGGUGGGGAUGACGUCAAAUCAGCACGGCCCUUACGUCCAGGGCUACACACGUGCUACAAUGGCCGGUACAGAGCGCAGCGAAGCCGCGAGGCAAAGCGAAUCGCAAAAAGCCGGUCUCAGUACGGAUUGGAGUCUGAAACCCGACUCCAUGAAGUUGGAAUCGCUAGUAAUCGCGCAUCAGCAUGGCGCGGUGAAUACGUUCCCGGGCCUU
This 470-nucleotide ribosomal RNA is filed under the name uncultured Sphingobacteriales bacterium. RNAcentral's name for it is "bacterial SSU rRNA". It matches the Rfam family "Bacterial small subunit ribosomal RNA", at positions 910 to 1382 of the family's 1533-position model. Lineage: Bacteria; Pseudomonadati; Bacteroidota; Sphingobacteriia; Sphingobacteriales. The record is from RNAcentral.